Colossoma macropomum (tambaqui) is the source of this 982-nucleotide long non-coding RNA. RefSeq lists it as uncharacterized. The transcript has 3 exons. NCBI's taxonomy places the organism in Eukaryota, Metazoa, Chordata, Actinopteri, Characiformes, Serrasalmidae. The record is from RefSeq and is a predicted model, not a curated record.
GAGAUUUGGCAAUUAUUAAAGGCUGCGGCUCUUUUCCGCCGGGUUUCCCUGGUUUAGCGUCUUUCUGAGGGACCGCCAUGUUUCACAUUCGCCCAGCUUCUUCGGGUGAGCAGAUGUUUCUGCGCUUUCUGAGCUGACUGCCACCUACCACCUCACCAGAGCGGUGUCGUUGAAUCUCAAGCGGCUUGCUUCAGGGAUGCAUCUCCACUUUGGGACCUAAAAAACGCAUCCAACUGGGACUUUUGUCUAAGGAUUAAUUAAUGUCCAGGAUUGGCUUUGCUUUCAGGUUGACAUUUGCUUUCUCCAGUCUGCCCCAUCUUGCCUUCCUGCCCCCAGUGUGCUCUUUUACUUAAUAUACCUAUUUGGCCUCAUAGGAGAAGGAAUGUUGCGCUGCGCUUGUGAGAAGCAUUGAAAUGCCUGUCACACAGAGUCAGCCAUUAACGCGAGAGAGAAGCUCCCUUGUGUUAACUUGUCAGCCACUGCCGUGAAACGUAAUGCUGUACAAGGGGGCCAUGGACCCUUCAGCCCCUGAAUAAAUGAAAAAGGCAUAUGUUGCAAAGCGCACACGGACUGUAUGUGCAGUCACAGAAAAUUCAUUGCAAUUUUGUUAAAGAAAACAAAAACAAUAAUGUAAAUGCUUUAUUCUUGUCUAAAGCAAUAGAUAAACAACAAUAAUAACAAAAAUUAAAUGUACACAGUUUUCCUCUUAUGCUAAAUGUAGCCCAUCAGCCAAGACAUGUUGGUGUCCAAAUUUCAUUUCUUUAGUUUUAUCCUGGAGGCUAAGGUAACUGACAAGUAAUGGAAGCUUAUAGCCACCAAUUAGUAUCAUACAAAUUGGCCAUCAAAGUCAGAUUCUCAAAUCAAAAUGAGUAUAAAUAGACUUGCUGAUUCCUUUUCACACACUGUAUGGUAUACAGUAAGGUUCCCGUGCCUUAUUGCAGUGCUGACACUAUCUGCACAUAUUUACAGUGGGGCCCAAAAA